GUAACACGUAGUCAACCUGCCCUGGAGACAUGGAAAACCCCGGGAAACUGGGAUUAAUCCGUGAUAGGUCACCUCAUCUGGAAGGAGAGAUGGCUUAAAGGGGUGCGAGAGCUUCUUUCUUGCAUUCGCUCCAGGAUGGGACUGCGGCCGAUCAGGCUGUUGGCGGUGUAAUGGACCACCAAACCUGUAACCGGUACGGGCCUUGAGAGAGGGGGCCCGGAGAUGGACACUGAGAGAAGGGUCCAGGUCCUACGGGGCGCAGCAGGCGCGAAACCUUCGCAAUGCGCGAAAGCGUGACGGGGUUAAUCCGAGUGGUCCCCGCUGAGGGGAUCUUUUGUUGGCUGUAAAAAGGCCGAUGAAUAAGGGGAGGGCAAGUCUGGUGUCAGCCGCCGCGGUAAUACCAGCUCCUCGAGUGGUCGGGGCGAUUAUUGGGCCUAAAGCAUCCGUAGCCGGUUCUGUAGGUCCUCUGUCAAAUCCAACGGCUUAACCGUUGGCCCGCAGAGGAUACCGCAGGACU
RNAcentral lists this ribosomal RNA (517 nucleotides) under uncultured archaeon. RNAcentral's name for it is "bacterial SSU rRNA". It matches the Rfam family "Archaeal small subunit ribosomal RNA", at positions 93 to 593 of the family's 1478-position model. The record is from RNAcentral.